RNAcentral lists this unclassified non-coding RNA (378 nucleotides) under uncultured Pseudomonadota bacterium. Its description in RNAcentral is "uncultured proteobacterium contains 16S-23S intergenic spacer region". Lineage: Bacteria; Pseudomonadati; Pseudomonadota. The record is from RNAcentral.
UCGCGGCUUAUCACCGGCAGUCCCCUUAGAGUGCCCAACUAAAUGAUGGCAACUAAGGGCGAGGGUUUCGCUCGUUAUAGGACUUGACCAAACAUCUCACGACACGAGCUGACGACAGCCAUGCAGCACCUGUCUCCGGUCCAGCCGAACUGAAGAACUCCAUCUCUGGAGUCCGCGACCGGGAUGUCAAGGGCUGGUAAGGUUCUGCGCGUUGCGUCGAAUUAAACCGCAUGCUCCUCCGCUUGUGCGGGCCCCCGUCAAUUCCUUUGAGUUUCAAUCUUGCGAUCGUACUUCCCAGGUGGAAUACUUAACGCUUUCGCUUGGACCCUAACAGUAUAUCGCUAAGGUCGAGUAUUCAACGUUUAGGGCGUGGACUAC